Molecule: small nuclear RNA, 118 nt
Organism: Neoarius graeffei (lesser salmon catfish)
Lineage: Eukaryota; Metazoa; Chordata; Actinopteri; Siluriformes; Ariidae
Product: U5 spliceosomal RNA
Exons: 1
Source: RefSeq, a predicted model, not a curated record
GUGCUCAGGUUUGUCUUCAUUGACACAUAAAUCUUUUGCCUUUUACUAAAGAUUUCCAUGGAGAGGAAUGUUAAUGAGUUCAAAAUGAUUAAUUUUUCUGUAAUUUUUAAAAAAAUGU